Molecule: ribosomal RNA, 407 nt
Filed under: uncultured bacterium
Lineage: Bacteria
Description: partial 16S ribosomal RNA
Rfam family: Bacterial small subunit ribosomal RNA
Source: RNAcentral
GACGAACGCUGGCGGCGUGCUUAACACAUGCAAGUCGAGCGGAGCGGCGGACGGGUGAGUAAUGCCUAGGAAUCUGCCUGGUAGUGGGGGACCACGUCCGGAAACGGGCGCUAAUACAGCAUACUAUCAGAUGAGCCUCGGUGGGAUUAGCUAGUUGGUGGGGUAAAGGCUUACCAAGGCGACGAUCCGUAACUGGUCUGAGGGGAUGAUCAGUCACACUGGAACUGAGACACGGUCCAGACUCCUACGGGAGGCAGCAGUGGGGAAUAUUGGGCAAUGGGCGAAAGCCUGAUCCAGCCAUGCCGCGUGUGUGAAGAAGGUCUUCGGAUUGUAAAGCACUUUAAGUUGGGAAGCGUUACCAACAGAAUAAGCACCGGCUAACUUCGUGCCAGCAGCCGCGGUAAUUC